UUUAAUUUAAUUCUUUGAGUGUAUUGUAAAUAUAAUUUGUGUUUGUUAUUUUGCUUCACCUGGCUUACUCUUGGGCCUUCUUACAAUGAGAUCAUCCUUUUUCACCUACACUCAUGCAUUGCUUAUUCGUUGAUUGGGCCCAAUUUAAUUGUUUCAUUACUUUGAAUCCCCAUUCGGCAAGAUGUACCCCCAUUCCCAUGAUGUGUAAUAAUUUUACCGUUUUAUUUCUUUAUUUU
Molecule: long non-coding RNA, 236 nt
Filed under: Lathyrus oleraceus (garden pea)
Lineage: Eukaryota; Viridiplantae; Streptophyta; Magnoliopsida; Fabales; Fabaceae
Description: Pisum sativum (pea) long non-coding RNA (PSAT_LNC000634)
Source: RNAcentral